This 366-nucleotide ribosomal RNA is filed under the name Triticum aestivum (bread wheat). RNAcentral's name for it is "partial small subunit ribosomal RNA". The record is from RNAcentral. Lineage: Eukaryota; Viridiplantae; Streptophyta; Magnoliopsida; Poales; Poaceae.
AUGGUGGUAUUGUCUGAAUAUAGAAGAGAAGGAUUGGAUUUUAUUAUGAAAGCCAUCAACCAACCAACAUAUUUGAAGGACCUUACAGGUGCUUCUAAUAAUGUGAUUAAGCUGGACACUUGUUUGACAUUGCCUGUCAGCUUCCCUGUAAAUUCUGGGAAGUUGUCUAGUGUUCGAUGUCUAAUUUUAGGUGCUGGAACUCUUGGGUGUGAUGUAGCUCGCAUUCUUAUGGAUUAUGGUGUUCGGAAGCUGACAGUGGUUGACAGCGGUAGUGUUGGUGUGUUGGCAAGGCAAUCACUUUACACAUUUGGUGACCGUGAUGUCCCGAAAGCAACAGCAAUAUGCACGCAUCUAAAAGAGAGAUAA